UACGGAGGGUGCAAGCGUUAUCCGGAUUCACUGGGCUUAAAGGGCGUGUAGGCGGGUUGUUAAGUCAGUGGUGAAAUCUCCAGGCUCAACCUGGAAACUGCCAUUGAUACUAUUUAUCUUGAAUAUCGUUGAGGUUGGCGGAAUAUAUCAUGUAGCGGUGAAAUGCAUAGAUAUGAUAUAGAACACCGAUUGCGAAGGCAGCUAACUAAGCGAUUAUUGACGCUGAGGCACGAAAGCGUGGGGAUCAAACAGG
This 253-nucleotide ribosomal RNA is filed under the name uncultured bacterium. Its description in RNAcentral is "partial 16S ribosomal RNA". It matches the Rfam family "Bacterial small subunit ribosomal RNA", at positions 524 to 776 of the family's 1533-position model. The record is from RNAcentral.